AAAUUGAAGAGUUUGAUCAUGGCUCAGAUUGAACGCUGGCGGCAGGCCUAACACAUGCAAGUCGAACGGUAACAGGAAGCAGCUUGCUGCUUUGCUGACGAGUGGCGGACGGGUGAGUAAUGUCUGGGAAACUGCCUGAUGGAGGGGGAUAACUACUGGAAACGGUGGCUAAUACCGCAUAACGUCGCAAGACCAAAGAGGGGGACCUUCGGGCCUCUUGCCAUCAGAUGUGCCCAGAUGGGAUUAGCUUGUUGGUGAGGUAACGGCUCACCAAGGCGACGAUCCCUAGCUGGUCUGAGAGGAUGACCAGCCACACUGGAACUGAGACACGGUCCAGACUCCUACGGGAGGCAGCAGUGGGGAAUAUUGCACAAUGGGCGCAAGCCUGAUGCAGCCAUGCCGCGUGUAUGAAGAAGGCCUUCG
Molecule: ribosomal RNA, 423 nt
Filed under: Salmonella enterica
Lineage: Bacteria; Pseudomonadati; Pseudomonadota; Gammaproteobacteria; Enterobacterales; Enterobacteriaceae
Also listed under: 1 other name
Description: bacterial SSU rRNA
Rfam family: Bacterial small subunit ribosomal RNA
Source: RNAcentral